AAGGGGUGCAUGGAUCUGGGGUUCGAUUUGCAGCAGCAGAACCCCCACCCCUCCAACCCCGCCGGUGAGCCAAUUCCUCCCCGUGCUUCUCCCUCCCAUCCCUACUCACUAGUCUCAUCUCUCUCUCUCCCCUCACCCUCUCUCUUUCUCAAACAGGAAGCAACACAACUCCACCACAACAAUUGUAUCGCCCGCGUCAAGUCGCCAGAACCUGUGGACCAACGCGCGCCGUUGCGACCUUGCACCCUCGUCCGACCUUCUCCGCUCCUAGAUUUGGUUUGGGCCACAACUGUGAUUAUUGCCUAUCGAUUGUGCUUGUUUGAUUUGGAGCUCCCUUCGCUCCCUCUUCCCUCUUGCGGGAUUAAUUGCUUCAUUCUGUUUCCCUCCUACGCUUCUUGAUUUAUGAUGCGGCAAAGUCGCGUGCGUAUAUAACUUGAUUGAAUUGGUUGCACAGGAGCGAGGUGGGACUAAAUCACGACAUGGAGAUUGAGAAGGUUACAACGAAGGAGGUAGGAGAGGACUCGCGGCGGCGGACAGGGUCACAGCGGCGCCGUUGCUGGAAAGCGAGCGCCUGGACAAGAUAAAACAGAGGAUUGCGGAUUGAAUUCUUACAAAUGUAGUUUUUUUUUGUAAAAAGCGAAAUAUUUUCUCAGAUUCACUCAAAAAGGGACUGUGGGUUGAAUUUUCAGAAAACACAAGGACUUUUCUGUAAAAACACAAACGACGUAUGACCAGAAGUAAUCACCGCUUUAUUAUUAGGGAGAGAUAAUAAAAGGUUAUUGCUUAUGGCAGUACGUCAUUAAAAUUGCCCCCAAAAUUACAAAACAUUACCCACCAAUGCCACAUAUAAGUGACAAAAAACAUUCUGCAGGGAAUCCCUGCCUAGGCCUGCCCAAGCAUAAGGACCUACUAUACUGCACCCUGCGCGCUGGAGAAGACACAACUCACCCGUUCAGGCCGACCCAUGUGCGGCAUGUUUCUUUAGUUUCGUUUUAUUUUCUUUAU
RNAcentral lists this long non-coding RNA (1005 nucleotides) under Triticum aestivum (bread wheat). Its description in RNAcentral is "long non-coding RNA (TAES_LNC002846)". The record is from RNAcentral. Lineage: Eukaryota; Viridiplantae; Streptophyta; Magnoliopsida; Poales; Poaceae.